CAGACGGGUGAGUAAUGCAUAGGAAUCUACCUAGUAGUAUGGGAUAGCCACUAGAAAUGGUGGGUAAUACUGUAUAAUCCCUGCGGGGGAAAGAUUUAUCGCUAUUAGAUGAGCCUAUGUUAGAUUAGCUAGUUGGUGGGGUAAAGGCCUACCAAGGCGAUGAUCUAUAGCUGGUCUGAGAGGAUGAUCAGCCACACUGGAACUGAGAUACGGUCCAGACUCCUACGGGAGGCAGCAGUGGGGAAUAUUGGACAAUGGGCGCAAGCCUGAUCCAGCUAUGCCGCGUGAGUGAGGAAGGCCUUAGGGUUGUAAAACUCUUUCAGUAGGGAAGAUAAUGACGGUACCUA
This 347-nucleotide ribosomal RNA is filed under the name Anaplasma phagocytophilum. RNAcentral describes it as "bacterial SSU rRNA". It matches the Rfam family "Bacterial small subunit ribosomal RNA", at positions 99 to 481 of the family's 1533-position model. The record is from RNAcentral. Lineage: Bacteria; Pseudomonadati; Pseudomonadota; Alphaproteobacteria; Rickettsiales; Anaplasmataceae.